RNAcentral lists this transfer RNA (73 nucleotides) under Marmota monax (woodchuck). Its description in RNAcentral is "tRNA.Ala". The record is from RNAcentral. Lineage: Eukaryota; Metazoa; Chordata; Mammalia; Rodentia; Sciuridae.
UUGGGAUGUGGCUCCAGUGGUAGCGCGCUCGCCUGGCAUGCGUGAGGUGCUGGGUUCGAUCCUCAGCACCAAA